UACGAAGGGGGCUAGCGUUGCUCGGAAUCACUGGGCGUAAAGGGUGCGUAGGCGGGUCUUUAAGUCAGGGGUGAAAUCCUGGAGCUCAACUCCAGAACUGCCUUUGAUACUGAAGAUCUUGAGGUCGGGAGAGGUGAGUGGAACUGCGAGUGUAGAGGUGAAAUUCGUAGAUAUUCGCAAGAACACCAGUGGCGAAGGCGGCUCGCUGGCCCGAUACUGACGCUGAGGCACGAAAGCGUGGGGAGCAAACAGG
RNAcentral lists this ribosomal RNA (253 nucleotides) under uncultured bacterium. RNAcentral describes it as "partial 16S ribosomal RNA". It matches the Rfam family "Bacterial small subunit ribosomal RNA", at positions 524 to 776 of the family's 1533-position model. The record is from RNAcentral.